Non-coding RNA from Colius striatus (speckled mousebird), 65 nucleotides. The record is from Rfam. Lineage: Eukaryota; Metazoa; Chordata; Aves; Coliiformes; Coliidae.
GUUUCUCUUCAGAUCAUAUAAAUCUUUCACCUUUUACUAAAGAUUUCUAUGGAGAGGAACAGAAA